RNAcentral lists this ribosomal RNA (850 nucleotides) under Curvularia spicifera. RNAcentral describes it as "eukaryotic LSU rRNA". It matches the Rfam family "Eukaryotic large subunit ribosomal RNA", at positions 68 to 936 of the family's 3401-position model. The record is from RNAcentral. Lineage: Eukaryota; Fungi; Ascomycota; Dothideomycetes; Pleosporales; Pleosporaceae.
ACAUGGAUUGCCCUAGUAACGGCGAGUGAAGCGGCAACAGCUCAAAUUUGAAAUCUGGCUCUUUCAGAGUCCGAGUUGUAAUUUGCAGAGGGCGCUUUGGCUUUGGCAGCGGUCCAAGUUCCUUGGAACAGGACGUCACAGAGGGUGAGAAUCCCGUACGUGGUCGCUAGCUAUUGCCGUGUAAAGCCCCUUCGACGAGUCGAGUUGUUUGGGAAUGCAGCUCUAAAUGGGAGGUAAAUUUCUUCUAAAGCUAAAUAUUGGCCAGAGACCGAUAGCGCACAAGUAGAGUGAUCGAAAGAUGAAAAGCACUUUGGAAAGAGAGUCAAACAGCACGUGAAAUUGUUGAAAGGGAAGCGCUUGCAGCCAGACUUGCUUGCAGUUGCUCAUCCGGGCUUUUGCCCGGUGCACUCUUCUGCAGGCAGGCCAGCAUCAGUUUGGGCGGUGGGAUAAAGGUCUCUGUCACGUACCUUCCUUCGGGUUGGCCUUAUAGGGGAGACGCCAUACCACCAGCCUGGACUGAGGUCCGCGCAUCUGCUAGGAUGCUGGCGUAAUGGCUGUAAGCGGCCCGUCUUGAAACACGGACCAAGGAGUCUAACAUCUAUGCGAGUGUUUGGGUGUCAAGCCCGAGCGCGUAAUGAAAGUGAACGGAGGUGGGAACCCGCAAGGGUGCACCAUCGACCGAUCCUGAAGUUUACGGAAGGAUUUGAGUAAGAGCAUGGCUGUUGGGACCCGAAAGAUGGUGAACUAUGCUUGAAUAGGGUGAAGCCAGAGGAAACUCUGGUGGAGGCUCGCAGCGGUUCUGACGUGCAAAUCGAUCGUCAAAUUUGGGCAUAGGGGCGAAAGACUAAUC